UAAGGUGGACUUAAAUAGGCUUUGAGAGAAAUUUAUUUCCCUUUCCUAGAAGGAUCUAAUUUCCUAUUAAAAAGAGAAUCUACAUCAAAAUAUGAAGCAGUCAUAAGUUUCCUAAAGCAAGAAGAUCUCUACACCUGCUGCCCUUUUUUGCGAGCAGCUCAACAGGUGUGGGGGCAUUUGUGGAGCCAAAAAUAUUCACAAGGCGACACGUGGAUUUUUGGACAAAAAGGACAAAAAUACCCUUACAGUACAACGAGGUUCCUACGCACAAGCAGCGGGCAACCCUCUUUCAACCAAGACAGAAGUGCCCAAAAUAGGUAACAAUU
RNAcentral lists this long non-coding RNA (326 nucleotides) under Malus domestica (apple). Its description in RNAcentral is "long non-coding RNA (MDOM_LNC013345)". Lineage: Eukaryota; Viridiplantae; Streptophyta; Magnoliopsida; Rosales; Rosaceae. The record is from RNAcentral.